RNAcentral lists this ribosomal RNA (492 nucleotides) under uncultured bacterium. RNAcentral's name for it is "partial 16S ribosomal RNA". It matches the Rfam family "Bacterial small subunit ribosomal RNA", at positions 29 to 507 of the family's 1533-position model. The record is from RNAcentral.
AGUGAACGCUGGCGGUAGGCCUAACACAUGCAAGUCGAACGGCAGCACAGUAAGAGCUUGCUCUUACGGGUGGCGAGUGGCGGACGGGUGAGGAAUACAUCGGAAUCUACUUUUUCGUGGGGGAUAACGUAGGGAAACUUACGCUAAUACCGCAUACGACCUACGGGUGAAAGCAGGGGAUCUUCGGACCUUGCGCGAUUGAAUGAGCUGAUGUCGGAUUAGCUAGUUGGCGGGGUAAAGGCCCACCAAGGCGACGAUCCGUAGCUGGUCUGAGAGGAUGAUCCGCCACACUGGAACUGAGACACGGUCCAGACUCCUACGGGAGGCAGCAGUGGGGAAUAUUGGACAAUGGGCGCAAGCCUGAUCCAGCCAUACCGCGUGGGUGAAGAAGGCCUUCAGGUUGUAAAGCCCUUUUGUUGGGAAAGAAAAGCAGCAGGUUAAUACCCCGCUGUUCUGACGGUACCCAAAGAAUAAGCACCGGCUAACUUCGUG